Molecule: long non-coding RNA, 839 nt
Filed under: Chloebia gouldiae (Gouldian finch)
Lineage: Eukaryota; Metazoa; Chordata; Aves; Passeriformes; Passeridae
Description: Erythrura gouldiae (Gouldian finch) lncRNA (ENSEGOG00005010867.1)
Source: RNAcentral
CAUACUGGUCCAUAGUGGUUUCUGUUGCUCCAUACUGGUUUGUAAUGGUCCGCACUGGUCUAUACUGGCUCAUACUGGCCCAUACUGAUUUAUACUGGACUACUGGUUCACACUGGCCCACAGUGGUCCAUACUGGUUUAUACUGGUUUGUACUGGUCCAUACUGGUCUGUACUGGUUUAUAGCGGUCUGUACUGGCCUAUACCAUUUUAUAAUGGUUUAUACUGGUCCAUACGAGUCUAUAUUGGUUUGUAGUGGUUUAUACUGAACCAUAGUGGUUUAUACUGGUUUGUACUAGUCUGUAGUGGUUUAUAGUGGUUUAUAGGGGUCUGUACUGGUCCGUACUGGUCUGUACUGGUUUAUAGUGGUUUAUCCUGGUCCAUACUGGUUUAUAGUGGUCCGUACUGGUCUGUAUUGGUCUGUAGUGGUUUAUAGUGGUUUAUACUCGUCCAUACUGGUCCAUACUGGUUUGUACUUGUCCAUAUGGAUCUAUACUGGUCCAUACUGGUCCAUACUGGUCCGUGUCGGUGCUGUGCCCGCAGGAGCUGGCCCAGCUGCCCGAUUUCCCCAAGCUGCGGUUCCGUACUGGUUUAUACUGGUCUGUACUGGUUUAUACUGGUCUGUACUGGUUUAUACUGGUGCUGUGCCCGCAGGAGCUGGCCCAGCUGCCCGAUUUCCCCAAGCUGCGGUUCCGGCCGCGGGCGCCGCCGCCGCUGCAGCUGCUGGUGCCGGGUGCAGGCGCGGCUGCGCUGGACCUGCUGCAGCGGCUGCUGCGCUACCGCCCGCACCUGCGGCCACGGGCGGAACAGGUGGGCAACUGGGGGGACUGGGGGGGACUGGG